GGGGACGUUACGGAUUCGACAGGGAUGAUCUGGGCUUGGGUUGCGCGUCGGAGGGUCGGCUUCGUCACCAACGUAACUUAUAACAACUGGCAAAACUAACAACAACCUAGCAUUCGCAGCGUAAGCUCGGAUCUGCUUUAUGUAUCCAUCGCCCAUGUGGCUGCAUAGAGCUCACUUUUAGUGGGAUACGACAGCCGGUGCCGUUUGAGCCGUCUGGAAGAGAUUCUCGAACUAGCCCUCAGGAAGCCUGCUUAUCGGCAGACUGUGCGGCGAAAUCCAAUAGAUAAGCUACACGCGUAGAUGCUCAAGUAACGGAGUCUCUGGACGCGGGUUCGACUCCCGCCGUCUCCAUAG
RNAcentral lists this transfer-messenger RNA (354 nucleotides) under Caryophanaceae. RNAcentral's name for it is "Planococcus sp018613655 Standard tmRNA". It matches the Rfam family "transfer-messenger RNA". From Rfam's summary of the family: Bacterial tmRNA, also known as 10Sa RNA or SsrA, is named for its dual tRNA and mRNA-like properties. Its role is to liberate the mRNA from a stalled ribosome. To accomplish this part of the tmRNA is used as a reading frame that ends in a translation stop signal. The record is from RNAcentral. Lineage: Bacteria; Bacillati; Bacillota; Bacilli; Caryophanales. RNAcentral also lists the same sequence under 1 other name.